This 111-nucleotide ribosomal RNA is filed under the name Pogona vitticeps (central bearded dragon). The record is from RNAcentral. Lineage: Eukaryota; Metazoa; Chordata; Lepidosauria; Squamata; Agamidae.
ACGGCACAGCCCUGAACACAGGGCACUUCCUCUAAUUUUGGAAGUGAAGCAGGGCCAAGCCUGGUGAGUUCUCGGAUGGGAGACCACCAGGGAAUGUGAGAAAUCCCUGUU